CUGGAGCCCCUUCUUCUGCCAUGAGAAGGACAUACCUGACUGGCCUGCUGGAGGAAAAGAGACUUGGGGAGUAGAGAUCAAGGUAUUUGGCAGCUGCUGGAAAGUUUUCCACAUCCAGUGAUUGGCUGCAUUUGGUGGACAAAGGAACUCAUCACUAUAUGAACUUUAAAGGGAUACAGCUUGUGAAAAAUUCCUCUGAUAAAAGUCAAGGCUACUUCAAGGGCUGGGUGCUGUUGAGAGAUGGAAUCUCUGUGCCCUUCCAUCAAGAAGUGGUCUGUCUAUGGAUGUGAGGCUCCAGGUUAGUGUUGCAUUGGAUGGUUAUAUAAUGUGCUGCUUCGGGGUCCAAACAGCCACUCUUCCUCUCUUCCC
Molecule: long non-coding RNA, 369 nt
Organism: Cercocebus atys (sooty mangabey)
Lineage: Eukaryota; Metazoa; Chordata; Mammalia; Primates; Cercopithecidae
Exons: 3
Source: RefSeq, a predicted model, not a curated record